CAGAGUUAUCCAACUCCCAAACCCAUGUGAACUUAUCUCUUUGUUGCCUCGGCGCAAGCUACCCGGGACCUCGCGCCCCGGGCGGCCCGCCGGCGGACAAACCAAAACUCUUGUUAUCUUAGUUGAUUAUCUGAGUGUCUUAUUUAAUAAGUCG
RNAcentral lists this unclassified non-coding RNA (154 nucleotides) under soil metagenome. RNAcentral's name for it is "partial internal transcribed spacer 1". The record is from RNAcentral.